RNAcentral lists this long non-coding RNA (452 nucleotides) under Setaria viridis. RNAcentral describes it as "long non-coding RNA (SVIR_LNC006770)". The record is from RNAcentral. Lineage: Eukaryota; Viridiplantae; Streptophyta; Magnoliopsida; Poales; Poaceae.
ACGGGUUCUAGAACAUGCCGUUGUCGUCAUCGUCUUUGUCUUCUUUGGCCUUGCCCUUAUCCUUUGCUUCAGAAGGUUCUGACAGAUCUUUCAUGACUCUGCAAAGGCUAUAGCAAUCCAUCAUGGAGUGCUUAAAGUGUGGGUGCCAUGGGCAUUGCUUUUUCAAGAGCUCCUUGAAUGGAGUCCAUUCUAAAAUCCUGCCCCCUUUCUUAGAAGGCUGGGACAUCGCUGCGAUAGUAUUUUCUAGCUUUCUCUUGCAAUGUUGACCACCAGAGUAGUUGCCUCAGUUGUCAUUGUUGGGACGAUCGUUGCAGUUCUUGUCGUUACGUUGACCGUUACUCUGAUUGUUGUUGUUUUGGCCUCUGUUACAACUAGACUCAAACUGCUCAAUCUCUUUGUCUUCUUCAUCCACCCAUGCUUGUAUCAUAAUAUUGAGAGACUUGAUAUCUUCC